This 1635-nucleotide ribosomal RNA is filed under the name Staphylococcus aureus. RNAcentral's name for it is "partial 23S ribosomal RNA". It matches the Rfam family "Bacterial large subunit ribosomal RNA", at positions 1012 to 2648 of the family's 2925-position model. The record is from RNAcentral. Lineage: Bacteria; Bacillati; Bacillota; Bacilli; Caryophanales; Staphylococcaceae.
CGAAAGGGAAACAGCCCAGACCACCAGCUAAGGUCCCAAAAUAUAUGUUAAGUGGAAAAGGAUGUGGCGUUGCCCAGACAACUAGGAUGUUGGCUUAGAAGCAGCCAUCAUUUAAAGAGUGCGUAAUAGCUCACUAGUCGAGUGACACUGCGCCGAAAAUGUACCGGGGCUAAACAUAUUACCGAAGCUGUGGAUUGUCCUUUGGACAAUGGUAGGAGAGCGUUCUAAGGGCGUUGAAGCAUGAUCGUAAGGACAUGUGGAGCGCUUAGAAGUGAGAAUGCCGGUGUGAGUAGCGAAAGACGGGUGAGAAUCCCGUCCACCGAUUGACUAAGGUUUCCAGAGGAAGGCUCGUCCGCUCUGGGUUAGUCGGGUCCUAAGCUGAGGCCGACAGGCGUAGGCGAUGGAUAACAGGUUGAUAUUCCUGUACCACCUAUAAUCGUUUUAAUCGAUGGGGGGACGCAGUAGGAUAGGCGAAGCGUGCGAUUGGAUUGCACGUCUAAGCAGUAAGGCUGAGUAUUAGGCAAAUCCGGUACUCGUUAAGGCUGAGCUGUGAUGGGGAGAAGACAUUGUGUCUUCGAGUCGUUGAUUUCACACUGCCGAGAAAAGCCUCUAGAUAGAAAAUAGGUGCCCGUACCGCAAACCGACACAGGUAGUCAAGAUGAGAAUUCUAAGGUGAGCGAGCGAACUCUCGUUAAGGAACUCGGCAAAAUGACCCCGUAACUUCGGGAGAAGGGGUGCUCUUUAGGGUUAACGCCCAGAAGAGCCGCAGUGAAUAGGCCCAAGCGACUGUUUAUCAAAAACACAGGUCUCUGCUAAACCGUAAGGUGAUGUAUAGGGGCUGACGCCUGCCCGGUGCUGGAAGGUUAAGAGGAGUGGUUAGCUUCUGCGAAGCUACGAAUCGAAGCCCCAGUAAACGGCGGCCGUAACUAUAACGGUCCUAAGGUAGCGAAAUUCCUUGUCGGGUAAGUUCCGACCCGCACGAAAGGCGUAACGAUUUGGGCACUGUCUCAACGAGAGACUCGGUGAAAUCAUAGUACCUGUGAAGAUGCAGGUUACCCGCGACAGGACGGAAAGACCCCGUGGAGCUUUACUGUAGCCUGAUAUUGAAAUUCGGCACAGCUUGUACAGGAUAGGUAGGAGCCUUUGAAACGUGAGCGCUAGCUUACGUGGAGGCGCUGGUGGGAUACUACCCUAGCUGUGUUGGCUUUCUAACCCGCACCACUUAUCGUGGUGGGAGACAGUGUCAGGCGGGCAGUUUGACUGGGGCGGUCGCCUCCUAAAAGGUAACGGAGGCGCUCAAAGGUUCCCUCAGAAUGGUUGGAAAUCAUUCAUAGAGUGUAAAGGCAUAAGGGAGCUUGACUGCGAGACCUACAAGUCGAGCAGGGUCGAAAGACGGACUUAGUGAUCCGGUGGUUCCGCAUGGAAGGGCCAUCGCUCAACGGAUAAAAGCUACCCCGGGGAUAACAGGCUUAUCUCCCCCAAGAGUUCACAUCGACGGGGAGGUUUGGCACCUCGAUGUCGGCUCAUCGCAUCCUGGGGCUGUAGUCGGUCCCAAGGGUUGGGCUGUUCGCCCAUUAAAGCGGUACGCGAGCUGGGUUCAGAACGUCGUGAGACAGUUCGGUCCCUAUCCGUCGU